The sequence is a transfer RNA, 87 nucleotides long. It matches the Rfam family "tRNA". From Rfam's summary of the family: Transfer RNA (tRNA) molecules are approximately 80 nucleotides in length. Their secondary structure includes four short double-helical elements and three loops (D, anti-codon, and T loops). The record is from Rfam.
GCCCUUAUGGCGUAGUGGUAGCGCGUCGGUCUUGUAUCCCUGAUCCAUUCAAACCGAAGGUCCCUAGUUCGAUCCUGGGUGGGGGCA